This is a long non-coding RNA of Capsicum annuum, 1083 nucleotides long. RefSeq lists it as uncharacterized. The record is from RefSeq and is a predicted model, not a curated record. The transcript is spliced from 2 exons. Lineage: Eukaryota; Viridiplantae; Streptophyta; Magnoliopsida; Solanales; Solanaceae.
ACAACAACAACAGUUAACAGAGUACAAAAAACCACCAGCAACCACAACAAUUGCGAGCAACUUCCAUGGAAAAACCCAUUCCAACAAACGGUGUUUAACAACCUCAACAACAAACAACGUCAAUUCCCAAAACUCAGCCACGUCACCAUUUCUUAGCUCUUCAACCCGUUGAAACCAACAAUGGCAGAGAAAUAGUCCCCAAACCGUGAUACAACGAAAAUUGUUCUGAAAUUCUUCAUUAAUUCAAGAUAUGAAAGAGAUUCUUUGUUGAAUUUGAAUUCAAACUCCAUCCACACAUUUUUUUUGAAAAAAAUUUCACUUUAAUUCCGGAUUUGAAAAUCCAGAUUUCAUUUAUAAAUAGCCCUUUCUUCACCAUGAAAAGGAAUGAGGAUUUCUUGAGGAAAAACUUGAGGGUUCUGGAGGUGCUCACCUCUAACCCUACGUAACCGAGAAAUUUUUAGUGCACUCUCAAAAUUCAUCCUAAAUCGUUGGAAUUUCAUUAAAGCACUGAAAUUGUGGUGGAAGUUGUUCCGAUAAGGUUUUGAAGACUCGUUCGCUGCUCCAAAAAGGAAUGGCUCAAUCAUACCCCUGUAAAAAAUUCAAGAUGGUUACCGGACCUGAUAACUUUAUGAAAGCAUGGUCAACUCAUAUAGAUGGAAAAGACAAAGAGAUUGUUAGUACACAUAUCGAACAUCUACCUUCGCUUAUAGAGAUGGAUGUUUGGCUUGAAAUGAUCUAUGUGCUAUCAACAUUCUGGGAUGAUAGCAACAUGGAGUUUCGCUUUGGGGAAAUGGAAUUGACUCCCACUAUUGAAGAAGUAAUGACCUAUUAUGAGAGCAUUGAUAUGUGUAGGAAAAGAAAGAGUGCACCCGACAAAAGUAUUCUAGCCCCUACUGUAUGGAACCGUCAGGAGAUCAAGGAUGCCUUUUCAAUCAGUGAUGAUACCUGGUUGGGUGAACAUGAUGAAGAUAACAUAUUUUUUCUUGAGUUAUAUCGCUAGUUUGAAAAGUAUAACGUUUUUGAGAAGUUUGGGCAUAAGUUCGAAUCAGAGUCAAAAUGGAAAGAGAAAAGAGCAUUUGCUUU